RNAcentral lists this ribosomal RNA (253 nucleotides) under uncultured bacterium. Its description in RNAcentral is "partial 16S ribosomal RNA". It matches the Rfam family "Bacterial small subunit ribosomal RNA", at positions 524 to 776 of the family's 1533-position model. The record is from RNAcentral.
GACGAGGGGUCCAAGCGUUGUUCGGAAUCAUUGGGCGUAAAGCGGGUGUAGGCGGCUCUACAAGUCAGAAGUGAAAGCCCCAGGCUUAACCUGGGAAGUGCUUUUGAUACUGUAAAGCUUGAAUGUGGGAGAGGAUGGUGGAAUUCCAGGUGUAGUGGUGAAAUACGUAGAUAUCUGGAGGAACUCCGGUGGCGAAGGCGGCCAUCUGGCCCAACAUUGACGCUGAGACCCGAAAGCGUGGGGAUCAAACAGG